UCCCGGCGGUCCAAGUCGCAUCCACAUUUAUUGGGUCUAAAACAUCCGUAGCUUGUUUUGUAAGUCUCUUGUGAAAUCCCAUCUCUCAAAUUUGGGGCGUGCAAGAGAUACUACAAGGCUUGGAGAUCGGAAGACGUAAAGAGAACGAUUGAGGUAGCGGUAAAAUGUGUUAAUCUUGGUCGGACUAACAAUGGCGAAGGCACUUUACGAGUACGAAUCUGACAGUGAGGGAUGAAGGCUAGGGG
This 245-nucleotide ribosomal RNA is filed under the name uncultured archaeon. RNAcentral describes it as "partial 16S ribosomal RNA". It matches the Rfam family "Archaeal small subunit ribosomal RNA", at positions 474 to 717 of the family's 1478-position model. The record is from RNAcentral.